GGGUGUGAAAAUGACCUAGCUGCAACAUCUGCUACCCCGUUGAUGGCCAGCGUUGAUUUGACUGAUCUGGCCAGCUAUGUGGGUGUCCUCUCCCUCCCUCAAUGCUCCAUGUAUUGUUCGUCCUGAAGCUGUGCACUUGGGGGAACAGUAUGACCACCCCUGAGAGAGGAGAAGAGUUCCUUGGUCAAGGGUGUAUGAGUAGCUGCGCUCCCGUGCUAGAAUUUCCAAACAAGUUCUCAAGAAAGGUCCAUGUCUUUAAUACUCAUGUAGCUCUUUCUACCACAGUUGUUAUCAGUUGCUUUGGAUUUAUGAAC
Molecule: small RNA, 314 nt
Filed under: Octodon degus (degu)
Lineage: Eukaryota; Metazoa; Chordata; Mammalia; Rodentia; Octodontidae
Description: 7SK RNA (ENSODEG00000024089.1)
Rfam family: 7SK RNA
About the family: 7SK was discovered as an abundant small nuclear RNA in the mid-70s but a possible function has only recently been suggested. Two independent studies have found that 7SK RNA binds the CDK9/cyclin T complex (known as elongation factor P-TEFb).
Source: Rfam by way of RNAcentral